AUAAAAAGUUCGAAUUUGAAAAAGUAUAAUUAAAAAACAUAAAUUUUUGCCACUUAAUGAAGAAGAUAUUUUUGAAAAUAUCCUUUUAGCGGUGGUAAAGAUGAAAAGUGGUACCAUGAAAGUGGUAAACAUGAAAUUUUCCCUAAAUUUUAUUAAAUAUCUUAUUAAAUUUAUUUUUAAAAAAAUCUAAAAAUAAAAGUAUCAUUCUUGUUUUUCAGAAAACUAAAAAACAAAAUAUCAUUAUUUUUAACUUGUAUUUGCAGUUUUUGUUUUAAAAUAAUUUUAUAAAAUAAGAUUAUUUGUGUUUUGAUAAUAGUAUUCUAUAGAUUUAUGGGGAAAUUUCAUGUUUACCACUUUCAUGGUACCAUUAUUCAUUUUUCCCACCAUUAAAUGAACAUUUUCAAAAAUACAUUUUUUAUUAAGUGACAAAAGACUCUUAUAC
RNAcentral lists this long non-coding RNA (442 nucleotides) under Brassica napus (rape). Its description in RNAcentral is "long non-coding RNA (BNAP_LNC009588)". Lineage: Eukaryota; Viridiplantae; Streptophyta; Magnoliopsida; Brassicales; Brassicaceae. The record is from RNAcentral.